Long non-coding RNA from Saccostrea echinata, 138 nucleotides. RefSeq lists it as uncharacterized. Lineage: Eukaryota; Metazoa; Mollusca; Bivalvia; Ostreida; Ostreidae. The transcript is spliced from 3 exons. The record is from RefSeq and is a predicted model, not a curated record.
UUACAAACACUUUAUGAGUAUAUUGUGGCACACAUCAAUGCUCCGAGUAAGCCAUGCUGUAUUCAAGGUUUUAUUUCUGACUCACUGGAAGCUUUUGACGGUGGAAUGUGGUGGAUCCCAAAUAUGAGAAGAAUGAAA